AUUGAACGCUGGCGGCAUGCUUUACACAUGCAAGUCGAACGGUAACAGGCCGCAAGGUGCUGACGAGUGGCGAACGGGUGAGUAAUGCAUCGGAACGUGCCCAGUCGUGGGGGAUAACUACUCGAAAGAGUAGCUAAUACCGCAUACGAUCUAUGGAUGAAAGCGGGGGACCGUAAGGCCUCGCGCGAUUGGAGCGGCCGAUGUCAGAUUAGGUAGUUGGUGGGGUAAAGGCUCACCAAGCCAACGAUCUGUGGCUGGUCUGAGAGGACGACCAGCCACACUGGGACUGAGACACGGCCCAGACUCCUACGGGAGGCAGCAGUGGGGAAUUUUGGACAAUGGGCGCAAGCCUGAUCCAGCAAUGCCGCGUGCAGGAAGAAGGCCUUCGGGUUGUAAACUGCUUUUGUACGGAACGAAACGGCUCUGGUUAAUACCCGGGGCUAAUGACGGUACCGUAAGAAUAAGCACCGGCUAACUACGUG
RNAcentral lists this ribosomal RNA (482 nucleotides) under uncultured bacterium. RNAcentral describes it as "partial 16S ribosomal RNA". It matches the Rfam family "Bacterial small subunit ribosomal RNA", at positions 30 to 507 of the family's 1533-position model. The record is from RNAcentral.